This 1046-nucleotide ribosomal RNA is filed under the name uncultured archaeon. RNAcentral's name for it is "bacterial SSU rRNA". It matches the Rfam family "Archaeal small subunit ribosomal RNA", at positions 1 to 1054 of the family's 1478-position model. The record is from RNAcentral.
UCUGGUUGAUCCCGGCGGAGGUUACUGCUAUCGAGGUUCGACUAAGCCAUGCGAGUCGAAUGUAGCAAUACAUGGCGUACUGCUCAGUAACACGUGGACAACCUACCCUUAGGUCGGGGAUAAACCCGGGAAACUGGGUAUAAUACCCGAUAGAUCUCGGCUGCUGGAAUGCAUCGAGAUCGAAAGCUCCGGCGCCUAAGGAUGGGUCUGCGGCCUAUCAGGUAGUAGUGGGUGUAGCGUACCUGCUAGCCUACGACGGGUACGGGUUGUGAGAGCAAGAGCCCGGAGAUGGAUUCUGAGACACGAAUCCAGGCCCUACGGGGUGCAGCAGGCGCGAAAACUUUACAAUGCUGGAAACAGCGAUAAGGGGACCUCGAGUGCCAGGUUACAAAUCUGGCUGUCGUGAUGCCUAAAAAGCAUUGCAUAGCAAGGGCCGGGCAAGACCGGUGCCAGCCGCCGCGGUAACACCGGCGGCUCGAGUGGUAACCGUUAUUAUUGGGUCUAAAGGGUCUGUAGCCGGCCGGAUAAGUCUCUUGGGAAAUCCAGCAGCUCAACUGUUGGGCUUUCAGGAGAUACUGUCUGGCUCGAGGCCGGGAGAGGUGAGAGGUACUUCAGGGGUAGGGGUGAAAUCUUGUAAUCCUUGAAGGACCACCAGUGGCGAAGGCGUCUCACCAGAACGGACCUGACGGCAAGGGACGAAAGCUAGGGGCACGAACCGGAUUAGAUACCCGGGUAGUCCUAGCCGUAAACGAUACUCGCUAGGUGUCGGCCACGGUGCGACCGUUGUCGGUGCCGUAGGGAAGCCGUGAAGCGAGCCACCUGGGAAGUACGGCCGCAAGGCUGAAACUUAAAGGAAUUGGCGGGGGAGCACCACAACGGGUGGAGCUUGCGGUUUAAUUGGAUUCAACGCCGGAAAUCUUACCGGGACCGACAGCAAUAUGAAGGCCAGGCUGAAGACUUUGCCGGAUUAGCUGAGAGGUGGUGCAUGGCCGUCGUCAGUUCGUACUGUGAAGCAUCCUGUUAAGUCAGGCAACGAGCGAGACCCA